AACGAACGCUGGCGGCGUGCCUAACACAUGCAAGUCGAGCGGGAAAGUUCCCUUCGGGGAGCGAGUACAGCGGCGAACGGGUGAGUAACACGUAGGUAACCUACCCUGGAGUCCGGGAUAACCUGCCGAAAGGCGGGCUAAUACCAGAUAAGACCACGAGGGCUGCGGCCCUUGGGGAAAAGAUGGCCUCUGCUUGCAUGCUAUCACUCCGGGAUGGGCCUGCGCGCCAUUAGCUAGUUGGUGGGGUAACGGCUCACCAAGGCUGAGAUGGCUAGCUGGUCUGAGAGGAUGGCCAGCCACACUGGGACUGAGACACGGCCCAGACUCCUACGGAGGC
RNAcentral lists this ribosomal RNA (337 nucleotides) under uncultured bacterium. RNAcentral's name for it is "bacterial SSU rRNA". It matches the Rfam family "Bacterial small subunit ribosomal RNA", at positions 29 to 349 of the family's 1533-position model. The record is from RNAcentral.